GCACAAGCGGAGAACAUGUGGUUAAUUCGAUGAUACGCGAGGAACCUUACCUGGGCUUAAAUGUAGAGUGCAUUUUUUAGAGAUAGAAAUUCCCUUCGGGGCUUUCUGCAAGGUGCUGCAUGGUUGUCGUCAGCUCGUGCCGUGAGGUGUCGGGUUAAGUCCCAUAACGAGCGCAACCCUUAUCGUUAGUUGCCAGCUGGUAAAGCAGGGGACUCUAGCGAAACUGCCACCGUAAGGUGAGAGGAAGUGGGGAUGACGUCAAAUCAGCACGGCCCUUAUGUCCAGGGCUACACACGUGUUACAAUGGCCGGCACAGAGGGCAGCUACCUGGUGACAGGAUGCUAAUCUCGAAAACCGGUCUCAGUUCGGAUCGAAGUCUGCAACUCGACUUCGUGAAGCUGGAUUCGCUAGUAAUCGCGCAUCAGCCAUGGCGCGGUGAAUACGUUCCCGGGCCUU
This 456-nucleotide ribosomal RNA is filed under the name uncultured Sphingobacteriales bacterium. RNAcentral describes it as "bacterial SSU rRNA". It matches the Rfam family "Bacterial small subunit ribosomal RNA", at positions 923 to 1382 of the family's 1533-position model. Lineage: Bacteria; Pseudomonadati; Bacteroidota; Sphingobacteriia; Sphingobacteriales. The record is from RNAcentral.